GCCACAGCUCAGUGGUAGAACAUCUGCUUUGAAUGCAGAAAGAAGGUCUCAGGUUCAAUUCCUGGUAUCUCUG
Podarcis lilfordi (Lilford's wall lizard) is the source of this 73-nucleotide non-coding RNA. The record is from the annotation of a GenBank genome assembly. Lineage: Eukaryota; Metazoa; Chordata; Lepidosauria; Squamata; Lacertidae.